CGCCACCGGUAUGGGGUCCUACGGGGUCCUGGGGGGGGGGUUAUGGGGUCGUUAUGGGGUCCUAUGGGGUCUUUAUGGGGUCCUGGGGGGUCUUUAUGGGGUCCUUAUGGGGUCACAGAUCUGCGCCUUCUGGACCCGCUUCCUGCCCAAGCUGCUCAACGCCACCGGUAUGGGGUCCUACGGGGUCCUGGGGGGGGGCUUAUGGGGUCUUUAUGGGGUCCUGGGGGGUCCUCAUGGGGUCCUAUGGGGUCCUAUGGGGUCUUUAUGGGGUCGUAUGGGGUCCUCAUGAAGUCCUAUGGGGUGUUUAUGGGGUCCUGGGGGGUCCUUCUGGGGUCCUUCUGGGGUCCUUCUGGGGUCAGGUGUUUCUUACAGGGUCCUUACGGGGUCCUGGGGGGUCUUAUGGGGUCAGGGGAAGGUUUAUAGGAUCCUUAUGGGGUCCUUCUGGGAUCAGGGGGUCCCUAUGGGGUCUUUAUGGGGUCCUUAUGUGGCCCUUAUGGGGUCAGGGAGGCUUUAUAGGGUCCUUCUGGGGUCCUUCUGGGGUCAGGUGUUUUUUACAGGGUUCUUAUCAGGUCCUGGGGGGUCUUUAUGGGGUCCUUAUGGGGUCAGGUGUUUUUUACAGGGUCCUUACGGGGUCCUGGGGGGUCUUUAUGGGGUCAGGUGAAGGUUUAUAGGAUCCUUAUGGGGUCCUUCUGGGAUCAGGUGCUUUUACAGGGUCCUUACGGGGUCCUGGGGGGUCUUAUGGGGUCAGGGGAAGGUUUAUAGGAUCCUUAUGGGGUCCUUCUGGGGUCAGGUGCUUUUACAGGGUCCUUACGGGGUCCUGGGGGGUCUUAUGGGGUCUUAUGGGGUCAGGGGAAGGUUUAUAGGGUACUUAUGGGGUCCUUAUGGGAUCAGGAGGACCCUAUGGGGUCCUUAUGGGCUCAGGUGUUUUUUACUGGGUCCUUACGGGGUCCUAGGGGGUCUUAUGGGGUCUUAUGGGGUCAGGGGAAGGUUUAUAGGAUCCUUAUGGGGUCCUUCUGGGGUCAGGUGUUUUUUACAGGGUCCUUACGGGGUCCUGGGGGGGUCUAAUGGGGUCUUACGGGGUCAGGGGGAGGUUUAUAGGAUCCUUAUGGGGUCCUUCUGGGAUCAGGUGCUUUUACAGGGUCCUUACGGGGUCCUGGGGGGGUCUUAUGGGGUCUUACGGGGUCAGGGGAAGGUUUAUAGGGUCCUUAUGGGGUCCUUCUGGGAUCAGGGGGUCCCUAUGGGGUCCUUAUGGGGUCCUUAUGGGGUCAGGGAGGCUUUAUAGGGUCCUUCUGGGGUCCUUCUGGGGUCAGGUGUUUUUUACAGGGUUCUUAUGAGGUCCUGUGGGGUCUUUAUGGGGUCCUUAUGGGGUC
This 1370-nucleotide long non-coding RNA is filed under the name Numida meleagris (helmeted guineafowl). RNAcentral's name for it is "lncRNA (ENSNMEG00000002646.1)". The record is from RNAcentral. Lineage: Eukaryota; Metazoa; Chordata; Aves; Galliformes; Numididae.